This 491-nucleotide ribosomal RNA is filed under the name uncultured bacterium. Its description in RNAcentral is "partial 16S ribosomal RNA". It matches the Rfam family "Bacterial small subunit ribosomal RNA", at positions 29 to 507 of the family's 1533-position model. The record is from RNAcentral.
AGUGAACGCUGGCGGUAGGCCUAACACAUGCAAGUCGAACGGCAGCACAGUAAGAGCUUGCUCUUACGGGUGGCGAGUGGCGGACGGGUGAGGAAUACAUCGGAAUCUACUUUUUCGUGGGGGAUAACGUAGGGAAACUUACGCUAAUACCGCAUACGACCUACGGGUGAAAGCAGGGGAUCUUCGGACCUUGCGCGAUUGAAUGAGCCGAUGUCGGAUUUGCUAGUUGGCGGGGUAAAGGCCCACCAAGGCGACGAUCCGUAGCUGGUCUGAGAGGAUGAUCAGCCAAACUGGAACUGAGACACGGUCCAGACUCCUACGGGAGGCAGCAGUGGGGAAUAUUGGACAAGGGGCGCAAGCCUGAUCCAGCCAUACCGCGUGGGUGAAGAAGGCCUUCGGGUUGUAAAGCCCUUUUGUUGGGAAAGAAAAGCAGCGGUUAAUACCCCGCUGUUCUGACGGUACCCAAAGAAUAAGCACCGGCUAACUUCGUG